RNAcentral lists this long non-coding RNA (250 nucleotides) under Lathyrus oleraceus (garden pea). RNAcentral's name for it is "Pisum sativum (pea) long non-coding RNA (PSAT_LNC013949)". Lineage: Eukaryota; Viridiplantae; Streptophyta; Magnoliopsida; Fabales; Fabaceae. The record is from RNAcentral.
UAAUGUUUAAAAAUUAUUUCUUGAUUUCUUCUCUUUGGAUUCAAAAAAAACGUGUGCUACUGUUAAUUUGUUGUUGAUAUAUAUGCUGAAUUUUUAGGUCUUAAGAUAACUUGUUAGGUUAUCUUUUCCAGAUUUUAUGGGAUGAUUGUUCUGCGGAUUUAAAGUUGUUUGGAUUAGUGUUUAUUAUGGCCUCUUAUGCAAAGCUUUAAUCUGAGCAUUUUAUUAGUUAUAUUUCAGUUUUCUAUAAGCG